CAGUCGCCGCGGUAACACGAAGGGUGUAAGCGUUACUCGGAAUUACUGGGCGUAAAGCGUGCGUAGGUGGUGGUUUAAGUCCGUUGUGAAAUCCCCGGGCUCAACCUGGGAAUGGCAGCGGAUACUGGCUCGCUAGAGUGUGUCAGAGGAUGGUGGAAUUCCCGGUGUAGCGGUGAAAUGCGUAGAGAUCGGGAGGAACAUCAGUGGCGAAGGCGGCCAUCUGGGACAACACUGACGCUGAGGCACGAAAGCGUGGGGAGCAAACAGGAUUAGAUACCCCAGUAGUCCCUGUCUCUUAUAC
This 301-nucleotide ribosomal RNA is filed under the name uncultured bacterium. RNAcentral describes it as "partial 16S ribosomal RNA". It matches the Rfam family "Bacterial small subunit ribosomal RNA", at positions 509 to 807 of the family's 1533-position model. The record is from RNAcentral.